RNAcentral lists this non-coding RNA (157 nucleotides) under human gut metagenome. The record is from RNAcentral.
GAAUUAGGUGUCCGAAAGGACUUAAUAGGGAAGUUUGGUUAAAUGCCAACGCGGUCCCGCCACUGUAUUAGGGAGCGAACUCAACAAAUGUCACUGGAAAAAAUUCUGGGAAGACUGAGCGAGCGAUGAACUAGAGCCAGGAGAACUGCCUAAUUAA